RNAcentral lists this long non-coding RNA (448 nucleotides) under Ananas comosus (pineapple). Its description in RNAcentral is "long non-coding RNA (ACOM_LNC030881)". The record is from RNAcentral. Lineage: Eukaryota; Viridiplantae; Streptophyta; Magnoliopsida; Poales; Bromeliaceae.
AAAAUAUUGUUAGACAAGAAUUAAAUAAAAAAGAACACAGAUGGAUGUGUUGGCUUAAAUGGGCUAGUAUCCUCUCCUGUAGCGGUAGGUCAUGUUGAGUCGAGUCAUGUUCGAAAUAGCAUGAGGCUGGGUGGACCGAGUCAUGUUCGAAGUGGCGUGAGGCUGGUUGGGCCCAGUCACAAUCGAGACCUGUGGGCGCUGUAUCUGUACGUUUUAAGUGAAUUGAUUGCGUAUUUCUAACAGUUCGAGAUUUUGGGAUUAAUGGUUAGCCCCAACGAUCCGACAGAAUGAGGAUGACUAAAGGAAAUAGUACUGUUCUUUUUCUUGAAAAAGCCAUAGGCAUUUUAUUAAAGUAGAGUUCGAUGACAUCUUUUAUUUAUCUAAUGGUCGUAAAUAAAAAAUUUGAUUUUUACUCCUUUAAAAAUCUUGUUGUCUAUAAUUUAGUAUG